RNAcentral lists this non-coding RNA (66 nucleotides) under unclassified sequences. RNAcentral describes it as "DUF3800-IX RNA". It matches the Rfam family "DUF3800-IX RNA". Rfam says of the family: Actinobacteria, Firmicutes (1 example), Nitrospirae, Proteobacteria, Verrucomicrobia (1 example). Nearby to DUF3800 The record is from Rfam by way of RNAcentral.
AAAUCGAUCCCGAAAGAGUUGCCGUAUGGUAGCCGAAGCUCGAAAGAGAUAGGGGUCGAUUCCGCA